This is a long non-coding RNA of Oncorhynchus tshawytscha (Chinook salmon), 1169 nucleotides long. The record is from Ensembl. NCBI's taxonomy places the organism in Eukaryota, Metazoa, Chordata, Actinopteri, Salmoniformes, Salmonidae.
GGCUAACUUACUUCCUGUAGUGCAGUGGGCUAGUAUCGCCACAUCAGAGUGGAUUCAGGAAGGGAAGAGGAACUAUGGACUCAGUGCUUACUUCCUGGAGAGCAGUGGGCUAGUAUUGCCACAUCAGAGCGGAUUCAGGAAGGGAAGAGGAACUAUGGACCCAGUGCUUACUUCCUGGAGAGCAGUGGGCUAGUAUUGCCACAUCAGAGCGGAUUCAGGAAGGGAAGAGGAACUAUGGACCCAGUGCUUACUUCCUGGAGAGCAGUGGGCUAGUAUUGCCACAUCAGAGCGGAUUCAGGAAGGGAAGAGGAACUAUGGACCCAGUGCUCUGCUUAGAAGCAGAGGUCAGGAAGGCUCAGGUGAACAAGAAGACUGUUGUAGCUGUAUUUUUUUUGAUGUGGAAGGAAGGUUUGUAAAUCAAGCUUGAUAUUAUGGGGGUAGGAGGAAGAACAUACAACUGGAUAAAGGAUUUCCUGUUUGGAAGGUCUAUCCAAGUAAGGCUGGGGAAGUCUCUCCGGCAGCUAUCUGGUGGAUAAUGGUACACCACAGGGCAGCGUGAUUAGUCCUCUGUUGUUCUCAGUCACAAUCAACAGGAAGUUCUGGGUCAGCAUUUGUAGAGCAGGAAUAUGGGGUGAAAGUCAGGAAACGUAGUACAGAUCUGGCUGUAGAUACGGUGGAAAUGAUGGCCAUACUGUUGAUGUACUGGCUAAACAAGCACUAAGUAGUGGGGAUGUUGAUGUACUGGCUAAACAAGCACUUAGUAGUGGGGAUGUUGAUGUACUGGCUAAGCAAGCACUAAGUAGUGGGGGGUGUUGAUGUGGUAGUUUCAAUGAGCAAAGCAGAGGCAAAAAGCCUGAUAUGGACCGUGAUGGUGCAGAGAUGGCAGGAGCAGUGGAAUAGAGAUACUAUUACAGGGGCUGAGUCACUGGCUUACUGGGGCUCUUACAUACCGUCCCUGGGAGGGGUGCGUCACUUGAGUGGGUUGAGUCACUGGCUUACUGGGGCUCUUUCAUACCGUCCCUCGGAGGGGUGCGUCACUUGAGUGGGCUGAGUCACUGGCUUACUGGGGCUCUUUCAUACCGUCCCUGGGAGGGGUGCGUCACUUGAGUGGGUUGAGUCACUGGCUUACUGGGGCACUUUCAUACCGUCCCUCGGAGGGGUGCAUCACU